AGUGAACGCUGGCGGUAGGCCUAACACAUGCAAGUCGAACGGCAGCACAGUAAGAGCUUGCUCUUACGGGUGGCGAGUGGCGGACGGGUGAGGAAUACAUCGGAAUCUACUUUUUCGUAGGGGAUAACGUAGGGAAACUUACGCUAAUACCGCAUACGACCUACGGGUGAAAGCAGGGGAUCUUCGGACCUUGCGCGAUUGAAUGAGCCGAUGUCGGAUUAGCUAGUUGGCGGGGUAAAGGCCCACCAAGGCGACGAUCCGUAGCUGGUCUGAGAGGAUGAUCAGCCACACUGGAACUGAGACACGGUCCAGACUCCUACGGGAGGCAGCAGUGGGGAAUAUUGGACAAUGGGCGCAAGCCUGAUCCAGCCAUACCGCGUGGGUGAAGAAGGCCUUCGGGUUGUAAAGCCCUUUUGUUGGGAAAGAAAAGCAGCAGGUUAAUACCCCGCUGUCCUGACGGUACCCAAAGAAUAAGCACCGGCUAACUUUGUG
RNAcentral lists this ribosomal RNA (492 nucleotides) under uncultured bacterium. RNAcentral's name for it is "partial 16S ribosomal RNA". It matches the Rfam family "Bacterial small subunit ribosomal RNA", at positions 29 to 507 of the family's 1533-position model. The record is from RNAcentral.